RNAcentral lists this long non-coding RNA (641 nucleotides) under Homo sapiens (human). RNAcentral describes it as "PYDC2 antisense RNA 1". Lineage: Eukaryota; Metazoa; Chordata; Mammalia; Primates; Hominidae. The record is from RNAcentral.
CUUCUCGUCUGUCGCCAUGUGAGAUGUACCUUUCACUUUCCUCCAUGAUUGUGAGGCCUCCUUAGCCACAUGGAACUGAAAUGCUGGAGUCCUUCAUCCGAAUGUGACCCCCACCUUUACAAGUGUCUGUAAUUCUCACUAGCAGUAUAUUAGAGGGCAAAAGAUUUGAACAGACACAUCAGAAAAGAAGACAUACAAAUGGCCGCUAAGCACUUGAAAGGAUUCUGAACACCAUUAGUCAUCAGUGAAAUGCAAAUUAAAGCCAUAAUGAAUGGCGCUAUACAUUUUCAGAAUGGCAAGGAUUGAAGACCGAAAAAAAUCAAGCGUUGAGGAGAGUGACAAAUGGGGAGACAGCCGUGGUGCAUGAUCGCCGAAUAAAUACCAUGUGAGGAUACAGCAAGAAGGUGGCCAUCUACAAGCCAAGGAGACAGGCCUCAGAAGAAACCAACCCUUCUUACACCCUGGACUCAGACUUCUAAUCUCCAGAACUUGUUAAUGCACAAGGUCUUGUGUUGAAAAUGUAGAGCCACGAGAUAAAAGCAGCUUGGAUGGCUGACUCAUAUACAAGGACAACUGCCUGAGAGUCACCAGGGCUAUCAAGAAGUUUGCAGAAACAAGAAAUAAACUUUUACUGUUUUAAA